GGUGGGAUGCUGAGGUGAAGGAGAGUGAGUGGUGGGAUGCUGAGGUGAAGGAGAGUGAGUGGUAGGAUGCUGAGGUGAAGAGGAGUGAGUGGUAGGAUGCUGAGGUGAAGGAGAGUGAGUGGUAGGAUGCUGAGGUGAAGGAGAGUGAGUGGUAGGAUGCUGAGGUGAAGGAGAGUGAGUGGUAGGAUGCUGAGGUGAAGGAGAGUGAGUGGUAGGAUGCUGAGGUGAAGGAGAGUGAGUGGUAGGAUGCUGAGGUGAAGGAGAGUGAGUGGUGGGAUGCUGAGGUGAAGGAGAGUGAGUGGUAGGAUGCUGAGGUGAAGGAGAGUGAGUGGUGGGAUGCUGAGGUGAAGGAGAGUGAGUGGUAGGAUGCUGAGGUGAAGGAGAGUGAGUUGUAGGAUGCUGAGGUGAAGGAGAGUGAGUGGUAGGAUGCUGAGGUGAAGGAGAGUGAGUGGUAGGAUGCUGAGGUGAAGGAGAGUGAGUGGUAGGAUGCUGAGGUGAGGGAAUGUGUGGCGGGACGUGGCCGGACAGUUUGCUUACGGACAUUUUGCCUACGGACCGUUUGCCUACCGGACCCUGUGCCUAACGGUCAUGAUAACUAAAUAACGACAUGUCUAUUAGACGCACCUGAUAGCGGCAGUUUUAUUUCAUCUAAUUUUAUUUUAUUUUAUCAAUCACGUUUAAUUAUUCAUUCAUGUCUAAAAUGGGGUGUAUUAAUGCAUUAAAAAGUAUAUGAAAUAAAACUUAAAUUCAGUGUAGAAUAUAAAAAUAUCAUUCUUAGAGUGGUCAGACAUAGUCAGAAAUUCUAUAAAUUGUGAGCGAUGGCACAAGAGUAUUCAGGAAUCGGAGUGGCGGGAUGCUGAGGUGAGGGAGAGUGUAUGGCGUGGUCCUGGCAGGAUGGUGAGUUGAGGAUGAGUAUGGUGGGUUUCUAAGGUGAAGAGAGUGCAAGGCAGGAUGAUGAGAUGAGUGGGGGUGUACAAUACACCGGUUAUCUUCAGAACUCUACUGAGGGUUAAGGAAAACUGUAAGUCAAAACAAUUAAAGGAACAUUGACAUCGGAAUUUUUAGGAAAAUCAGAAAUCUCUCACCUACCAUUAAUUUUGUUUGCCUAUAAUUUCAUU
This is a long non-coding RNA of Eriocheir sinensis (Chinese mitten crab), 1118 nucleotides long. RefSeq lists it as uncharacterized. The record is from RefSeq and is a predicted model, not a curated record. NCBI's taxonomy places the organism in Eukaryota, Metazoa, Arthropoda, Malacostraca, Decapoda, Varunidae. The transcript has 3 exons.